GAGCUGGGGAAAGUGGGAGACUGUCUGAAGUUGGCUGCUUGGGGUGUGGGUGAGGCCCCGGGAAGCUGGGGGUUGGGUUGCAGCCCUGUCACUGCAGCCUGGGGCCCUGCGUUUCCUCUGGAAAAGCUGCUCUGUUUCACCAUCUCCCCUCAGUCUGAGUCCCAGGGACCCUGCACAGGCGUCUGCAGGGCAGGACGGGCCCUGAAAUCUGGCAGCUGGGAGGUUUGCAGCAGUUUCUAACCCUCCCUCCCCUGCUUCUUCCAGGAGGCACCACAAAAGCAUCUGGCCUCUCUGGGAAAAGAGAGAGAAGCAGCCAAAGCCGAGGAGGAGCAGCAAAGCGAGGAGCUGCUGAAACAGAUGGCAGCCGAGAGGCAGAAGAUCGUCUGGAAGUGGAAGGAGCUGCAAGGGUUUUUGGAGGAGCAGGAGCAGCGGCUGCUGGCCCAGCUGGAAGAGCUAGAGAGAGCCAUUGUCCAGAGAAGGGAUGAGGGCAUCUGCAGCCUGUCCUGGGAGAUUUCCCUGCUCAGCGAGAGGGGAGGAGCGAAGGGGCAGCAGCAGCUGAGCCAACCCCUGCAGGGUGCUGGGAGCACUGGGGGCAGGGAGGACAGGACAUUUCGGAAGCUAGAGCCGUCGUUUGCGGAGCUGGAGAAGAGACUCAGCGAUUUUUCUCUGAAAAGUGCCAUGCUGCAGGAGGUGCUGCUGGGAUUCAAAGCCAUCCCGAUGAUGAUUAAUUUCUGGGAAACAUCCUCAGCAGAAUUAUUUGAAGGUCUUGCACCAGACAGUAAAGGCACAGAGGCAGUGGCUUGUGGGAAAGAGGGUAAGUUUCAUUACUGAUCCUGCUCUUAAAAAGAGGGCUCCUCUUAGAAAACUAGUUUAACGUACAAGCACUGAGAGACUUUAAGAAAGUCACUAAUCACAGGAGCAAUGGGUCUCUUUGGAACAUAUUUUAACUGACAAGCCCUUAGAGCCUUUCUGAGAAACAGGAUAGAACUAUGGUCAAAAUGAAGUGAAAACUAAUGAACGUGCAUCAUGAGGAGAAAGUGGAGGGAACCCAAAUUAAAAUAUAAUGAAAACAAAGCCUCUCAGAAAGGAAAUAUGUCAGUUUAGUAGCAGUGUUGCCAUGUCAG
RNAcentral lists this long non-coding RNA (1124 nucleotides) under Gopherus agassizii (Agassiz's desert tortoise). RNAcentral's name for it is "lncRNA (ENSGAGG00000016525.1)". The record is from RNAcentral. Lineage: Eukaryota; Metazoa; Chordata; Testudines; Testudinidae.